This 30-nucleotide small RNA is filed under the name Bombyx mori (domestic silkworm). RNAcentral's name for it is "piRNA piR-bmo-1405755". Lineage: Eukaryota; Metazoa; Arthropoda; Insecta; Lepidoptera; Bombycidae. The record is from RNAcentral.
UGUCGACCUACAUAUCGCGUCUGCGAACCC